RNAcentral lists this ribosomal RNA (523 nucleotides) under Serratia marcescens. RNAcentral describes it as "bacterial LSU rRNA". It matches the Rfam family "Bacterial large subunit ribosomal RNA", at positions 697 to 1218 of the family's 2925-position model. RNAcentral also lists the same sequence under 3 other names. Lineage: Bacteria; Pseudomonadati; Pseudomonadota; Gammaproteobacteria; Enterobacterales; Yersiniaceae. The record is from RNAcentral.
UAGUUGCAAGGUAUAGACCCGAAACCCGGUGAUCUAGCCAUGGGCAGGUUGAAGGUUGGGUAACACUAACUGGAGGACCGAACCGACUAAUGUUGAAAAAUUAGCGGAUGACUUGUGGCUGGGGGUGAAAGGCCAAUCAAACCGGGAGAUAGCUGGUUCUCCCCGAAAGCUAUUUAGGUAGCGCCUCGUGAACUCAUCUUCGGGGGUAGAGCACUGUUUCGGCUAGGGGGCCAUCCCGGCUUACCAAACCGAUGCAAACUCCGAAUACCGAAGAAUGUUAUCACGGGAGACACACGGCGGGUGCUAACGUCCGUCGUGAAGAGGGAAACAACCCAGACCGCCAGCUAAGGUCCCAAAGUCAUGGUUAAGUGGGAAACGAUGUGGGAAGGCAUAGACAGCCAGGAUGUUGGCUUAGAAGCAGCCAUCAUUUAAAGAAAGCGUAAUAGCUCACUGGUCGAGUCGGCCUGCGCGGAAGAUGUAACGGGGCUAAACCAUGCACCGAAGCUGCGGCAGCGACGCUUAG